CGACUGGUUAACUCCAGCGU
This 20-nucleotide small nuclear RNA is filed under the name Arabidopsis thaliana (thale cress). Its description in RNAcentral is "snRNA_11195". The record is from RNAcentral. Lineage: Eukaryota; Viridiplantae; Streptophyta; Magnoliopsida; Brassicales; Brassicaceae.